This 450-nucleotide ribosomal RNA is filed under the name uncultured bacterium. RNAcentral's name for it is "partial 16S ribosomal RNA". It matches the Rfam family "Bacterial small subunit ribosomal RNA", at positions 338 to 795 of the family's 1533-position model. The record is from RNAcentral.
CCUACGGGUGGCAGCAGUAAGGAAUAUUGGUCAAUGGACGCAAGUCUGAACCAGCCAUGCCGCGUGGAGGAUGAAGGUCCUCUGGAUUGUAAACUUCUUUUAUUUGGGAAGAAACUCCCGAUUUCCAUCGGGAUUGACGGUACCAGAUGAAUAAGCACCGGCUAACUCCGUGCCAGCAGCCGCGGUAAUACGGAGGGUGCAAGCGUUAUCCGGUUUCAAGGGGUCGUAGGGGUGCGUAUAUGGGAGUGUUGAAAUCUACGGGCUUAACCCGGGAACUGCCAUUGAUACUAUUUGUCUUGAAUACUCUGGAGGUGAGCGGAAUAUGUCAUGUAGCGGUGAAAUGCUUAGAUAUGACAUAGAACACCCAUUGCGAAGGCAGCUCACUACGGAAAUAUUGACGCUGAGGCACGAAAGCGUGGGGAUCAAACAGGAUUAGAUACCCCGGUAGUC